CAACUGACAACAAGAGAGGAGGAA
This 24-nucleotide non-coding RNA is filed under the name Cricetulus griseus (Chinese hamster). Lineage: Eukaryota; Metazoa; Chordata; Mammalia; Rodentia; Cricetidae. The record is from RNAcentral.